CCUACGGGGGGCUGCAGUGAGGAAUAUUGGUCAAUGGACGCAAGUCUGAACCAGCCAUGCCGCGUGCAGGAAGACGGCUCUAUGAGUUGUAAACUGCUUUUGUACGAGGGUAAACGCAGAUACGCGUAUCUGUCUGAAAGUAUCGUACGAAUAAGGAUCGGCUAACUCCGUGCCAGCAGCCGCGGUAAUACGGAGGAUUCAAGCGUUAUCCGGAUUUAUUGGGUUUAAAGGGUGCGUAGGCGGUCGGAUAAGUUAGAGGUGAAAUCCCGAGGCUCAACUUCGGAAUUGCCUCUGAUACGGUGCGGUUAGAGGUUAGUGGAGGUAGGCGGAAUGUGUGGGGUAGGGGUGAAAGGCUUAGAGAGCAUACAGAACACCGAGUGCGAAGGCAGCUUACCAAGCUACUUCUGACGUUGAGGCACGAAAGCGUGGGGAGCAAACAGGAGGAGAGACCCGGGUAGUC
This 460-nucleotide ribosomal RNA is filed under the name uncultured bacterium. RNAcentral's name for it is "partial 16S ribosomal RNA". It matches the Rfam family "Bacterial small subunit ribosomal RNA", at positions 338 to 795 of the family's 1533-position model. The record is from RNAcentral.